This 937-nucleotide ribosomal RNA is filed under the name Cortinarius salmastrium. RNAcentral describes it as "partial large subunit ribosomal RNA". It matches the Rfam family "Eukaryotic large subunit ribosomal RNA", at positions 39 to 962 of the family's 3401-position model. The record is from RNAcentral. Lineage: Eukaryota; Fungi; Basidiomycota; Agaricomycetes; Agaricales; Cortinariaceae.
CAUAUCAAUAAGCGGAGGAAAAGAAACUAACAAGGAUUCCCCUAGUAACUGCGAGUGAAGCGGGAAAAGCUCAAAUUUAAAAUCUGGCAGUCUUUGGCUGUCCGAGUUGUAAUCUAGAGAAGUGUUAUCCGCGCUGGACCGUGUACAAGUCUCCUGGAAUGGAGCGUCAUAGAGGGUGAGAAUCCCGUCUUUGACACGGACUACCAGGGCUUUGUGAUACACUCUCAAAGAGUCGAGUUGUUUGGGAAUGCAGCUCAAAAUGGGUGGUAAAUUCCAUCUAAAGCUAAAUAUUGGCGAGAGACCGAUAGCGAACAAGUACCGUGAGGGAAAGAUGAAAAGAACUUUGGAAAGAGAGUUAAACAGUACGUGAAAUUGCUGAAAGGGAAACGCUUGAAGUCAGUCGCGUUGUCCAGGGAUCAACCUUGCUUUUGCUUGGUGUACUUUCUGGUUAACGGGUCAGCAUCAAUUUUGACUGUUGGAAAAAGAUUAGGGGAAUGUGGCAUCUUUGGAUGUGUUAUAGCCCUUGGUUGUAUACAAUGGUUGGGAUUGAGGAACUCAGCACGCCGAAAGGCCGGGUUUUUAACCACGUACGUGCUUAGGAUGCUGGCAUAAUGGCUUUAAUCGACCCGUCUUGAAACACGGACCAAGGAGUCUAACAUGCCUGCGAGUGUUUGGGUGGAAAACUCGAGCGCGUAAUGAAAGUGAAAGUUGAGAUCCCUGUCAUGGGGAGCAUCGACACCCGGACCAGACCUUUUGUGACGGUUCCGCGGUAGAGCAUGUAUGUUGGGACCCGAAAGAUGGUGAACUAUGCCUGAAUAGGGUGAAGCCAGAGGAAACUCUGGUGGAGGCUCGUAGCGAUUCUGACGUGCAAAUCGAUCGUCAAAUUUGGGUAUAGGGGCGAAAGACUAAUCGAACCAUCUAGUAGCUGGUUCCUGCC